RNAcentral lists this ribosomal RNA (253 nucleotides) under uncultured bacterium. RNAcentral describes it as "partial 16S ribosomal RNA". It matches the Rfam family "Bacterial small subunit ribosomal RNA", at positions 524 to 776 of the family's 1533-position model. The record is from RNAcentral.
GACAGAGGUGCCGAGCGUUAGGCGGAAUCACUGGGCUUAAAGCGUGUGUAGGCGGGUCGUUAAGUGCCUUGUGAAAUCCCACAGCUCACCUGUGGAACUGCUUGGCAUACUGGCGAUCUUGAGCCACUUAGGGGCAACCGGAACAAACGGUGGAGCGGUGAAAUGCGUAGAUAUCGUGUGGAACGCCAAUUGUGAAAACAGGUUGCUGGGAGUGCGCUGACGCUGAGACACGAAAGCCAGGGGAGCAAACGGG